GGGGGUGUAGCUCAUUUGGCAGAGCGCGUCAUUAGCAUCUUCAAUCAAUUCGAUUCGAAAGGUUUUGACGAGGUACCGGGUUCAAUUCCCUGCUCCUCCA
Molecule: transfer RNA, 100 nt
Organism: Kwoniella heveanensis BCC8398
Lineage: Eukaryota; Fungi; Basidiomycota; Tremellomycetes; Tremellales; Cryptococcaceae
Rfam family: tRNA
About the family: Transfer RNA (tRNA) molecules are approximately 80 nucleotides in length. Their secondary structure includes four short double-helical elements and three loops (D, anti-codon, and T loops). Further hydrogen bonds mediate the characteristic L-shaped molecular structure. tRNAs have two regions of fundamental functional importance: the anti-codon, which is responsible for specific mRNA codon recognition, and the 3' end, to which the tRNAs corresponding amino acid is attached (by aminoacyl-tRNA synthetases). tRNAs cope with the degeneracy of the genetic code in two manners: having more than one tRNA (with a specific anti-codon) for a particular amino acid; and 'wobble' base-pairing, i.e. permitting non-standard base-pairing at the 3rd anti-codon position.
Source: Rfam